AUACGUAGGUGGCAAGCGUUGUCCGGAAUUAUUGGGCGUAAAGCGCAUGUAGGCGGUGCCUUAAGUCUGUCGUGAAACUGCGGGGCCUAACCCCGUAUGGCGAUGGAAACUGGGGUACUUGAGUGCAGGAGAGGAAAGGGGAACUCCCAGUGUAGCGGUGAAAUGCGUAGAUAUUGGGAAGAACACCGGUGGCGAAGGCGCCUUUCUGGACUGUGUCUGACGCUGAGAUGCGAAAGCCAGGGUAGCGAACGGGAUUAGAUACCCCGGUAGUCCUGGCCGUAAACGAUGGGUACUAGGUGUGGGAGGUAUCGACCCCUUCCGUGCCGGAGUUAACGCAAUAAGUACCCCGCCUGGGGAGUACGGCCGCAAGGCUUAAACUCAAAUGAAUUGACGGGG
Molecule: ribosomal RNA, 396 nt
Filed under: uncultured bacterium
Lineage: Bacteria
Description: partial 16S ribosomal RNA
Rfam family: Bacterial small subunit ribosomal RNA
Source: RNAcentral